This is a long non-coding RNA of Cucumis melo (muskmelon), 461 nucleotides long. RefSeq lists it as uncharacterized. The transcript has 2 exons. NCBI's taxonomy places the organism in Eukaryota, Viridiplantae, Streptophyta, Magnoliopsida, Cucurbitales, Cucurbitaceae. The record is from RefSeq and is a predicted model, not a curated record.
CGAAAGCUUGUCCAAAUCCUUCUACAUCACCUUCUCUCUGCCAUAGCUUUUUCUUCUCUUCAAUCGGAAGUUCGAACAAUUUCUGAGUUUCCAUCUUCAUUCUCUCCAUCAACGAAUCGCUCACUCCGUGCUUCACCAACUGCGGAGUGAAGGCGAGACAACUCGGAAUCCAUUGUAUCAUGGGAGCACAAGUUGUACAUGUCGAUGACGGGGAUUUGGGAAGCGUCGGAGGAGAUGGGGGAGUGGUGGGGGAGAUCGGGGCGGAUGUAUCGAUGUGGAUUUCGGUGAUGGGGUGUUUGGCUAACUCUUGAACGGAAGGUACUAGAAUGGAACUUCCGAACCUUAAUGUGUCGUUGUUCUUCUCCUCCGCCAUGAGUUUCUUAUUUUUGUGAUUGAUUGGUUUCUGAAAUUCUGUAUGAAAAUGGCAAUGAGAUUUGGUUUUGAUUUUUAUGUUUUCAGCA